Molecule: long non-coding RNA, 658 nt
Organism: Mangifera indica (mango)
Lineage: Eukaryota; Viridiplantae; Streptophyta; Magnoliopsida; Sapindales; Anacardiaceae
Exons: 3
Source: RefSeq, a predicted model, not a curated record
AGAAAUUAGAAAACCGAGAAGGAUAAGAGGAGAAAAUAUAACAGGCUUGAGAGGAAAUGGCCAACUUAUACUAGGAAAUAAAAGGGGAAUGAACUGUUUAGUAUUUGCUAAAACAUUAAAGUCUUGACUGGGCAGAGUGAGCAACCAUGGAGCAUUCCCACAAUCGUCAGGGUCAGCAAAGCAAGAGGAACUUUGAUGGAAGUGGAAGACUAUCAGCAGCCACAAUAGCCACAAUAGAGACUCUGAAAUGCAGGAGGCGAGGAAGGGCAAUAAGGGAAGGCACCAAGUGUGUGCUGCUGGACAAUACUUUCCCUGGCUAUAGCUGGCUGUUGCCUGGAUGGGUCGCCGAGGAGCGACACAUGGAAUCCGGAAGGAUCUAUAGAUACUAUUAUGAUCCAGAAGGACGUAUGUACCACAGCCAAAAUGAGGUCACUCAUGCAUGGGAACAAUCUGGCUUGGUGCUUCUCGAUAAGUCUUAAAAAUGAAGGUUAAAGCCUAUAACCAGGAAGAGAACUGGGUCUGAGGAAGAGAACAAGAGAAAAAUUAUCAGUUGGGUUUGGGUGUUUUCUUUUCUGACAUAGCUCUUUGAGAGAAUCUACAUGUAAUAAAUAAAAUAAGGACAGACUCUUUCUAGAUUUAAUGGAAUGCAUUUGAACAA